GAUGAACGCUGGCGGCGUGCCUAAUACAUGCAAGUCGAGCGAACAGACGAGGAGCUUGCUCCUCUGACGUUAGCGGCGGACGGGUGAGUAACACGUGGAUAACCUACCUAUAAGACUGGGAUAACUUCGGGAAACCGGAGCUAAUACCGGAUAAUAUAUUGAACCGCAUGGUUCAAUAGUGAAAGACGGUUUUGCUGUCACUUAUAGAUGGAUCCGCGCCGCAUUAGCUAGUUGGUAAGGUAACGGCUUACCAAGGCAACGAUGCGUAGCCGACCUGAGAGGGUGAUCGGCCACACUGGAACUGAGACACGGUCCAGACUCCUACGGGAGGCAGCAGUAGGGAAUCUUCCGCAAAGGGCGAAAGCCUGACGGAGCAACGCCGCGUGGGUGAUGAAGGUCUUCGGAUCGUAAAACUCUGUUAUUAGGAAAGAACAAAUGUGUAAGUAACUAUGCACGUCUUGACGGUACCUAAUCAGAAAGCCACGGCUAACUACGUG
RNAcentral lists this ribosomal RNA (497 nucleotides) under uncultured bacterium. RNAcentral describes it as "partial 16S ribosomal RNA". It matches the Rfam family "Bacterial small subunit ribosomal RNA", at positions 28 to 507 of the family's 1533-position model. The record is from RNAcentral.